UACGUAGGGUGCAAGCGUUGUCCGGAAUUAUUGGGCGUAAAGAGCUCGUAGGCGGUCUGUCGCGUCGGAUGUGAAAACCCAGGGCUCAACCCUGGGCCUGCAUUCGAUACGGGCAGACUAGAGUUCGGUAGGGGAGACUGGAAUUCCAGGUGUAGCGGUGAAAUGCGUAGAUAUCUGGAGGAACACCGGUGGCGAAGGCGGCAUCCUGGACCGGCAUUGACGCUGAGGAGCGAAAGCCAGGGGAGCAAACGGG
RNAcentral lists this ribosomal RNA (253 nucleotides) under uncultured bacterium. Its description in RNAcentral is "partial 16S ribosomal RNA". It matches the Rfam family "Bacterial small subunit ribosomal RNA", at positions 524 to 776 of the family's 1533-position model. The record is from RNAcentral.